CAGCAGACACAUUCCAGCCAAUCAGCAGCAGACCCUCCCUCCCAGACCCUCCCACCUCCUGGACAGCAUCCAUUUUACAUUCAUUGUGAAACUGCAUUCUUAGUGAGCUGUCCAGGAGGUGGGAGAGUCUGGGGGGGAGGGUCUGCUGCUGAUUGGCUGGAAUGUGUCUGCUG
Molecule: microRNA precursor, 173 nt
Filed under: Pelobates cultripes (western spadefoot toad)
Lineage: Eukaryota; Metazoa; Chordata; Amphibia; Anura; Pelobatidae
Source: RNAcentral